ACUCCUACGGGAGGCAGCAGUGGGGAAUAUUGCACAAUGGGCGCAAGCCUGAUGCAGCCAUGCCGCGUGUAUGAAGAAGGCCUUCGGGUUGUAAAGUACUUUCAGCAGUGAGGAAGGUGGGUAUGUUAAUAGCAUAUUCAUUUGACGUUAGCUGCAGAAGAAGCACCGGCUAACUCCGUGCCAGCAGCCGCGGUAAUACGGAGGGUGCGAGCGUUAAUCGGAAUUACUGGGCGUAAAGCGCAUGCAGGUGGUUUGUUAAGUCAGAUGUGAAAGCCCGGGGCUCAACCUCGGAAUUGCAUUUGAAACUGGCAAACUAGAGUACUGUAGAGGGGGUAGAAUUUCAGGUGUAGCGGUGAAAUGCGUAGAGAUCUGAAGGAAUACCGGUGGCGAAGGCGGCCCCUGGACAGAUACUGACACUCAGAUGCGAAAGCGUGGGAGCAAACAGGAUUAGAUACCCCUGGUAGCGACUGA
RNAcentral lists this ribosomal RNA (471 nucleotides) under uncultured bacterium. RNAcentral's name for it is "bacterial SSU rRNA". It matches the Rfam family "Bacterial small subunit ribosomal RNA", at positions 335 to 803 of the family's 1533-position model. The record is from RNAcentral.